CCUACGGGAGGCUGCAGUGAGGAAUAUUGGUCAAUGGACGAGAGUCUGAACCAGCCAAGUAGCGUGAAGGAUGACUGCCCUAUGGGUUGUAAACUUCUUUUAUAUGGGAAUAAAAUGUUUCACGUGUGGGAUUUUGUAUGUACCAUAUGAAUAAGGAUCGGCUAACUCCGUGCCAGCAGCCGCGGUAAUACGGAGGAUCCGAGCGUUAUCCGGAUUUAUUGGGUUUAAAGGGAGCGUAGGUGGAUUGUUAAGUCAGUUGUGAAAGUUUGCGGCUCAACCGUAAAAUUGCAGUUGAAACUGGCAGUCUUGAGUACAGUAGAGGUGGGCGGAAUUCGUGGUGUAGCGGUGAAAUGCUUAGAUAUCACGAAGAACUCCGAUUGCGAAGGCAGUUCACUGGACUGCAACUGACACUGAGGCUCGAAAGUGUGGGUAUCAAACAGGAUUAGAUACCCGAGUAGUC
RNAcentral lists this ribosomal RNA (460 nucleotides) under uncultured bacterium. RNAcentral's name for it is "partial 16S ribosomal RNA". It matches the Rfam family "Bacterial small subunit ribosomal RNA", at positions 338 to 795 of the family's 1533-position model. The record is from RNAcentral.